This 90-nucleotide ribosomal RNA is filed under the name Enterobacter cloacae. The record is from RNAcentral. Lineage: Bacteria; Pseudomonadati; Pseudomonadota; Gammaproteobacteria; Enterobacterales; Enterobacteriaceae. RNAcentral also lists the same sequence under 9 other names.
CCUGGCGGCUUUAGCGCGGUGGUCCCACCUGACCCCAUGCCGAACUCAGAAGUGAAACGCCGUAGCGCCGAUGGUAGUGUGGGGUCUCCC